This 442-nucleotide ribosomal RNA is filed under the name uncultured bacterium. RNAcentral's name for it is "partial 16S ribosomal RNA". It matches the Rfam family "Bacterial small subunit ribosomal RNA", at positions 338 to 795 of the family's 1533-position model. The record is from RNAcentral.
CCUACGGGUGGCAGCAGUGGGGAAUAUUGGGCAAUGGGCGCAAGCCUGACCCAGCAACGCCGCGUGAAGGAAGAAGGCUUUCGGGUUGUAAACUUCUUUUGUCAGGGAAGAGUAGAAGACGGUACCUGACGAAUAAGCCACGGCUAACUACGUGCCAGCAGCCGCGGUAAUACGUAGGUGGCAAGCGUUGUCCGGAUUUACUGGGUGUAAAGGGCGUGUAGCCGGGUUGACAAGUCAGAUGUGAAAUCCUGCGGCUUAACCGCAGAACUGCAUUUGAAACUGUUGAUCUUGAGUACUGGAGAGGCAGACGGAAUUCCUAGUGUAGCGGUGAAAUGCGUAGAUAUUAGGAGGAACACCAGUGGCGAAGGCGGAUUACUGGACGAUAACUGACGGUGAGGCGCGAAAGCGUGGGGAGCAAACAGGAUUAGAUACCCGAGUAGUC